Molecule: small RNA, 101 nt
Filed under: Arabidopsis thaliana (thale cress)
Lineage: Eukaryota; Viridiplantae; Streptophyta; Magnoliopsida; Brassicales; Brassicaceae
Description: ATSL165310
Source: RNAcentral
UUUUUUUUGUACUCCAAAUUUUGACCUUAAUGUACUUUUUCAGGCCUUAUGUGAUCUUUGCUAUAUUACGAGGCAAAAAUUAUAUGUUCGGACAUUGUUUC